CGCAUCGCCGCGGCCCAAACUUCGACUCUGAUGUGAGCGUGAAUAAACACGAGAAACACUGUGAAGUUCGGCGGGCAGGAGAAGCGCUGGGCUAGCUGUGCCAUCAGCGCCGCACAAGGGGGUGGCCGGCCGCCGCUCUCUGCCCGGCUGUCCCUGGCGCACAGGGGGAUCCCCCCGGGGAACCUCUCAUCCCCCUGGGCCGGCGGGGAGAGCUCUGACCCUCACCUCUCUCUAAUCAACUUGAGGAAGCCUCUAACCGGCCGGCUUUUGCCCCUGUCUGAAACGCUCCUCCUCUGCUUUCCCUCCUUCGCUCCCACUCUUUCCCCGGCGGCCGGACCGAGCCGCCUGGCAGGGGGGGGUGCCCCGCUCCGCUCCGGCCCGUGCCGGCGCUCGGUUCUUCCUUACAAGGGCGCCUGCCGCCGAGCUGGGGGGAGGAGGAGGAGGAAGGGGAAGGGGAGGGGGGCGGUCACCGUGGCGGAGGAGCCUUUCCCGGAGGGGGCGGCGGGCAGCUGCUGAGUCCCUGCACGCACAAAACGCCGCAGCCCCCGGGCGACCUGUCAGCUCCGCCGCCCCCCCGGCUCCCCGCCUCGCCUCUCGCCAGAGUCAACACAGAGCUGCGAUCCAUUUGGGCGAUUUAGUUAAAAUAAAUAAAGCCGCGAAGAUUCACUAGCGAGCGAUGCAUCAUCGACCCGGAGGUUUAUUAAGAGGCUCGUUUACAGCCGCGGCUGCAGCCCCUGCUCCGUCGGAGAGGGGGAGGCCGGGCGGUGGUGUUGGGCAAGGCUGCGGCAGCCCGGGUCACCCCCGUCCUCCACACCAGCCCUCCGGCAGGGACCCGGGUCCCCCACCGGACAGCCACCCUCUGCUCGUCCCCUGUCCCCCAGAGAGCCCGCGAGGAGGGGGAAGCGGCCCACCCGACGGCUGCUGCAGAGCAUUGGUCCAGUGCUGCUCCGUUCCCCCACCACCCUGCACGGUGGCCCUCGCAGAGUGCCCAUCCUCCUCCCCUCUACCCUGAACACAGCCGGUGGCCGAACGUCUUCCCGAGGCAUUGGUGCUCGAGUCCCUCCAUCUUCAAUAAAAAUGAAGCAGACUACGAAGGCUGACA
This 1102-nucleotide long non-coding RNA is filed under the name Serinus canaria (Common canary). RNAcentral describes it as "lncRNA (ENSSCAG00000011523.1)". Lineage: Eukaryota; Metazoa; Chordata; Aves; Passeriformes; Fringillidae. The record is from RNAcentral.